CCUACGGGAGGCAGCAGUAAGGAAUAUUGGACAAUGGGCGAAAGCCUGAUCCAGCCAUUCCGCGUGUAGGAUGACGGCCCUCUGGGUUGUAAACUACUUUUAUUUGGGAAGAAACCCUGGGAUUUAUCCCGGGCUGACGGUACCAAAAGAAUAAGCACCGGCUAAUUCCGUGCCAGCAGCCGCGGUAAUACGGAAGGUGCAAGCGUUAUCCGGAAUCACUGGGUUUAAAGGGUGCGUAGGCGGUUGCGUAAGUCAGAAGUGAAAGCUCACAGCUUAACUGUGGAAUUGCUUUUGAUACUGCGCGACUAGAAUUAGGUUGAGGUUGGCGGAAUGUGACAUGUAGCGGUGAAAUGCAUAGAUAUGUCAUAGAACACCAAUUGCGAAGGCAGCUGACUGGACCUAUAUUGACGCUGAGGCACGAAAGCGUGGGAGCGAACAGGAUUAGAUACCCUGGUAGUCCACGCCCUAAACGAUGCUUACUCGAUGUGUGAAAUAUUGCGCAUCCAAGGGAAACCGUUAAGUAAGCCACCUGGGGAGUACGUUCGCAAGAAUGAAACUCAAAGGAAUUGACGG
This 573-nucleotide ribosomal RNA is filed under the name uncultured Bacteroidota bacterium. RNAcentral's name for it is "bacterial SSU rRNA". It matches the Rfam family "Bacterial small subunit ribosomal RNA", at positions 338 to 916 of the family's 1533-position model. Lineage: Bacteria; Pseudomonadati; Bacteroidota. The record is from RNAcentral.